Molecule: ribosomal RNA, 2829 nt
Filed under: Escherichia coli
Lineage: Bacteria; Pseudomonadati; Pseudomonadota; Gammaproteobacteria; Enterobacterales; Enterobacteriaceae
Description: 23S ribosomal RNA
Rfam family: Bacterial large subunit ribosomal RNA
Source: RNAcentral
GGGUUGUGAGGUUAAGCGACUAAGCGUACACGGUGGAUGCCCUGGCAGUCAGAGGCGAUGAAGGACGUGCUAAUCUGCGAUAAGCGUCGGUAAGGUGAUAUGAACCGUUAUAACCGGCGAUUUCCGAAUGGGGAAACCCAGUGUGAUUCGUCACACUAUCAUUAACUGAAUCCAUAGGUUAAUGAGGCGAACCGGGGGAACUGAAACAUCUAAGUACCCCGAGGAAAAGAAAUCAACCGAGAUUCCCCCAGUAGCGGCGAGCGAACGGGGAGGAGCCCAGAGCCUGAAUCAGUGUGUGUGUUAGUGGAAGCGUCUGGAAAGGCGCGCGAUACAGGGUGACAGCCCCGUACACAAAAAUGCACAUGCUGUGAGCUCGAUGAGUAGGGCGGGACACGUGGUAUCCUGUCUGAAUAUGGGGGGACCAUCCUCCAAGGCUAAAUACUCCUGACUGACCGAUAGUGAACCAGUACCGUGAGGGAAAGGCGAAAAGAACCCCGGCGAGGGGAGUGAAAAAGAACCUGAAACCGUGUACGUACAAGCAGUGGGAGCACAGAGCAAUCUGUGUGACUGCGUACCUUUUGUAUAAUGGGUCAGCGACUUAUAUUCUGUAGCAAGGUUAACCGAAUAGGGGAGCCGAAGGGAAACCGAGUCUUAACUGGGCGUUAAGUUGCAGGGUAUAGACCCGAAACCCGGUGAUCUAGCCAUGGGCAGGUUGAAGGUUGGGUAACACUAACUGGAGGACCGAACCGACUAAUGUUGAAAAAUUAGCGGAUGACUUGUGGCUGGGGGUGAAAGGCCAAUCAAACCGGGAGAUAGCUGGUUCUCCCCGAAAGCUAUUUAGGUAGCGCCUCGUGAAUUCAUCUCCGGGGGUAGAGCACUGUUUCGGCAAGGGGGUCAUCCCGACUUACCAACCCGAUGCAAACUGCGAAUACCGGAGAAUGUUAUCACGGGAGACACACGGCGGGUGCUAACGUCCGUCGUGAAGAGGGAAACAACCCAGACCGCCAGCUAAGGUCCCAAAGUCAUGGUUAAGUGGGAAACGAUGUGGGAAGGCCCAGACAGCCAGGAUGUUGGCUUAGAAGCAGCCAUCAUUUAAAGAAAGCGUAAUAGCUCACUGGUCGAGUCGGCCUGCGCGGAAGAUGUAACGGGGCUAAACCAUGCACCGAAGCUGCGGCAGCGACGCUUAUGCGUUGUUGGGUAGGGGAGCGUUCUGUAAGCCUGGGGUUCCUGUCCAACGUUAAUCGGGGCAGGGUGAGUCGACCCCUAAGGCGAGGCCGAAAGGCGUAGUCGAUGGGAAACAGGUUAAUAUUCCUGUACUUGGUGUUACUGCGAAGGGGGGACGGAGAAGGCUAUGUUGGCCGGGCGACGGUUGUCCCGGUUUAAGCGUGUAGGCUGGUUUUCCAGGCAAAUCCGGAAAAUCAAGGCUGAGGCGUGAUGACGAGGCACUACGGUGCUGAAGCAACAAAUGCCCUGCUUCCAGGAAAAGCCUCUAAGCAUCAGGUAACAUCAAAUCGUACCCCAAACCGACACAGGUGGUCAGGUAGAGAAUACCAAGGCGCUUGAGAGAACUCGGGUGAAGGAACUAGGCAAAAUGGUGCCGUAACUUCGGGAGAAGGCACGCUGAUAUGUAGGUGAAGUCCCUCGCGGAUGGAGCUGAAAUCAGUCGAAGAUACCAGCUGGCUGCAACUGUUUAUUAAAAACACAGCACUGUGCAAACACGAAAGUGGACGUAUACGGUGUGACGCCUGCCCGGUGCCGGAAGGUUAAUUGAUGGGGUCAGCGCAAGCGAAGCUCUUGAUCGAAGCCCCGGUAAACGGCGGCCGUAACUAUAACGGUCCUAAGGUAGCGAAAUUCCUUGUCGGGUAAGUUCCGACCUGCACGAAUGGCGUAAUGAUGGCCAGGCUGUCUCCACCCGAGACUCAGUGAAAUUGAACUCGCUGUGAAGAUGCAGUGUACCCGCGGCAAGACGGAAAGACCCCGUGAACCUUUACUAUAGCUUGACACUGAACAUUGAGCCUUGAUGUGUAGGAUAGGUGGGAGGCUUUGAAGUGUGGACGCCAGUCUGCAUGGAGCCGACCUUGAAAUACCACCCUUUAAUGUUUGAUGUUCUAACGUUGACCCGUGAUCCGGGUUGCGGACAGUGUCUGGUGGGUAGUUUGACUGGGGCGGUCUCCUCCUAAAGAGUAACGGAGGAGCACGAAGGUUGGCUAAUCCUGGUCGGACAUCAGGAGGUUAGUGCAAUGGCAUAAGCCAGCUUGACUGCGAGCGUGACGGCGCGAGCAGGUGCGAAAGCAGGUCAUAGUGAUCCGGUGGUUCUGAAUGGAAGGGCCAUCGCUCAACGGAUAAAAGGUACUCCGGGGAUAACAGGCUGAUACCGCCCAAGAGUUCAUAUCGACGGCGGUGUUUGGCACCUCGAUGUCGGCUCAUCACAUCCUGGGGCUGAAGUAGGUCCCAAGGGUAUGGCUGUUCGCCAUUUAAAGUGGUACGCGAGCUGGGUUUAGAACGUCGUGAGACAGUUCGGUCCCUAUCUGCCGUGGGCGCUGGAGAACUGAGGGGGGCUGCUCCUAGUACGAGAGGACCGGAGUGGACGCAUCACUGGUGUUCGGGUUGUCAUGCCAAUGGCACUGCCCGGUAGCUAAAUGCGGAAGAGAUAAGUGCUGAAAGCAUCUAAGCACGAAACUUGCCCCGAGAUGAGUUCUCCCUGACUCCUUGAGAGUCCUGAAGGAACGUUGAAGACGACGACGUUGAUAGGCCGGGUGUGUAAGCGCAGCGAUGCGUUGAGCUAACCGGUACUAAUGAACCGUGAGGCUUAACCUUACAACGCCGAAG